RNAcentral lists this ribosomal RNA (515 nucleotides) under uncultured bacterium. RNAcentral's name for it is "bacterial SSU rRNA". It matches the Rfam family "Bacterial small subunit ribosomal RNA", at positions 28 to 389 of the family's 1533-position model. The record is from RNAcentral.
GACGAACGCUGGCGGCGUGCCUAACACAUGCAAGUCGAGCGGAGAUUUCUUUGGCACUGAGUACUCUAGUGGUGACGCAAAGGAAGCGUCAUGAAGAAACAACAUAGAUGUUAAAAAUAAAAAUACUGAUAGAAGUUUCUUCAUCACGCGUUUAUAAAGUGCCAACACAUAACAACAGGAAGAAUUAGAGUAUUGAGUGCCAAAGAAAUCUUAGCGGCGGACGGGUGAGUAACACGUGGGCAACCUGCCUUAGAGUGGGGGGAUAACACCGGGAAAUCGGUGCUAAUACCGCAUAACAUACACAAACUGCAUGGUAAGUGUAUCAAAGGAGCAAUCCGCUUUAAGAUGGGCCCGCGGCUGAUUAGCUAGUUGGUAAGGUAACGGCUUACCAAGGCGACGAUCAGUAGCCGACCUGAGAGGGUGACCGGCCACACUGGAACUGAGACACGGUCCACGACUCCUACGGGAGGACGAGCAGUGGGGAAGUAUUGUCGCAAGUGGGGGAACCGGUCGAC